GUGUCAGCAGCCGCGGUAAUACGGAGGGUGCAAACGUUGCUCGGAAUCAUUGGGCGUAAAGCGAACGUAGGCGGCUAUGUAAGUCGGGUGUGAAAGCCCUCGGCUCAACCGAGGAAGUGCAUUCGAAACUGCAUGGCUUGAGUGUCGGAGAGGAUAGCGGAAUUCCCGGUGUAGAGGUGAAAUUCGUAGAUAUCGGGAGGAACACCAGUGGCGAAGGCGGCUAUCUGGACGAACACUGACGCUGAAGUUCGAAAGCGUGGGGAGCAAACAGGAUUAGAAACCCUUGUAGUCC
Molecule: ribosomal RNA, 292 nt
Filed under: uncultured bacterium
Lineage: Bacteria
Description: partial 16S ribosomal RNA
Rfam family: Bacterial small subunit ribosomal RNA
Source: RNAcentral